RNAcentral lists this long non-coding RNA (4563 nucleotides) under Mytilus galloprovincialis (Mediterranean mussel). The record is from RNAcentral. Lineage: Eukaryota; Metazoa; Mollusca; Bivalvia; Mytilida; Mytilidae.
GGAUAUACUUCUGCUGUUGGACGUUUUACUUGUUAAGAUUAUGUAACUUACAAUUAUAAAGUUUAAACUGCAUAAAAACUUGGUAAUAAUUGAACACUAAUGGAAAUUCAAAUGGCUAAUUACUUGAUCAAUGUACACACUUUGAUCUAGAACCGUAAGAGGGAGUUUGUGAUCAUUUUGAUUUAACCUAAAAUGGCAAUUUUAUAAAACUUUUUUGGCAAAUUUUAUGAGCCAAAGCUUAAUUUGACCCAUAUCGGCACAUCAUCAUCUUGGUAUAAGACCUCUUAUGUCUUUGUAAAACUUUGCUAAUAUCUUAAUUUCAAAAUCAGGUUUUUUUUUGGCAAUCUUUCAAAUCCUGCUGGUUACAUACCGACUAAUGAGGAGAACAGAAUGAUAUUGAUUAUGGGAUUAAUUACACUUUUUGAUUUCAAGGGUCUAAAAAUUGCAUUUUGAUACCUUCUUCUCUGUGAAAGAUAUUCUUUUGAAUAUGUUUUAUAUCGUGAUAUUGUGUUUAAAGAUAUUUUUCUUUCUAAAAGUACAUCAUAGCAGGAUUAAAAUCUGUUAUACCUGAGCAAGUUUUAUUUUAAGCACAUAUGCUGAAUUGAAUAUUUAUUUACAUAGUGAAACCAUUUGUUGAUAGUAUAGUCUAAAGUGGUUAUUAGUGGUUUGCAUAAUUUACACAUCAAAAGAAAUUAAGUAGUUUAUUUAUUUAUUUAUUAAUUAUUGCAAUGUUCGUAAUUUUGUUAAAUGUUUAUAAGGUGUGACUCACAAUAACAGUCCGCGUCUUCAAGCAUACCAGGGGUUAAACAGGUACUAUGGGGAUUAUUGAAAAUAUAACCAGUUAAGUUCUUACUGUGACCACAGUUACUGUUCUUAACUCAUAGAAACAGACUAGGUAAACCUUAUUUCAACAAGAUAUGAUUUAGAUAGUAUCAUAUGCCAUAUAAGAUUGUAAGUUUUUUUGGGGGAAAAGUUGAAACCAACAAAUGCCAUACAAUUACAUUAAAAUUGGGUUCUUAUACAUGCACCAUUAUGAAAUAAAUAAUAUUAGUUGAGGACAUGGUAGUCAUUUAGAAACUCACAAUAAUUGUUAAUGAUAGUUUCAACGUCAUUUAUUUUGUAUAUAGAUAUAUAUAUAUAUAUAUAUAAUGCAUGAUUGAGAAUUUAGCUAUUCACAAAAGCUGUUUGAUGAGGUAGGAAAUAAACAUUUAAUUAUUCUCAGGUUCUGUGAAAACCAAACAAUUUCGGUAAAAUCCACAUUUUUAACAUGCAUAUGGUUAAUUUAUUAGUUGGAAAAUUAAAAUGAAGACAUAACAUUAUAUCAUAUUUUAAUUCAAUGAUUUUAAUUUGGUUAAAUUUGAGAACAGGUGUUGUAUUUUCGUAGAACUAAACUUGCAUUCAAAUUUAUAAUGCUUGUAAUUGAAUACCAAAAUAAUCAAAUCUACAAUAAAGAAAAAUUCCAACCUGUGUGAAAUAUGAAAUUGGAAAAAAAGUUAUUUCAUGUUCUUAUAAAUUAUUUAUAUUUUGGAGGUACUGUAUUAUAGAUGUAAUAUAUUUAAAAUAUAUAUAUAUAUACUGAAAAAUGGGGGAUUUGAUACUAGAUAAUUUCCCUUUAUUUUAUUCCUCUAAGGAACUACUAUAAAUUGUUGAAAUAUUUCUUGAUUUUGGUAUUUUUAAGGCAUGAAAUUUUUUACUUACCAAAAAUAUGGAGAAGGGAACUUGAAGAUUUUUUGUUGAUGUAAUGAUGUUAUAUUUCAAAUAUUAAAGUUGAAGUUACCAUUCUGUGAUACUAUAUAGAUGAAAAUUCUUACUUGUAACAGUUUUUCUACAACAAUAUCACAAGGAUGCAAAAAAAUGGAAAUCUUGGUAAAACAAGAAUAGGUUAAAGAAAGUUCCUGUUUUCUCUAUUUUAUGAAAUUUUCACGGAUAGAUAAUUUCUUUUCUCAGCACAGUAGAGUGAUAUGAAAAAUGAUCGCUAGAAACUAAGGGAGCAUAUGUUGCUGUUAUUAAAAUUAACAAUGUUGUCAUCUAUAGGUGAAAUACUAGUAGAGAUAAACAGAUUAUCAUUGGUCAUCUCGACCUAAUUGCUUUUUUCACUUUUGCCGUACUGGCUCAAGCGAAAAAAUCAAUCUGAUUGAGAUGAACAACAAUAAUCUAUAAAUACACAAUCAUCAGCUGUUUUCAAGACAGUCGUACCCAUAAUCAAUAAAGUGCAAUACUGCAGUUAAACUUCCUAGAUUACAGUGCUUGCUUAGCUGUAAUUUUAAAGCCAAGUUAUAAUGCUAAGUAUAUAGAUGCUUAAGAACUUAUAUUAAACUACUGACAUCUGUAUAAAAUUCUUGUGUACAUAUAUUUAUCCUGUCAGUAGUUUAAAUGCUUUUGUAUUAUAAAUUCUAUUAUUGGGACCAAACUGAAUUUUAUGAGUUGUGAAAUUUAGGAGAAAUGGCUGAUCACUCAAAACACAUUGUAUAAUAUUCAUUUAUUAGUAAAUUAAUAAUAUAAUAUACAUUUGACUCUUUGAUAUAUGAUCAAUAGAUCCAACAUUGUGAAAUCCAAAUGUAUUUAAAAUAUGCUAGUCAUUGGUGGAGGGACUUUUGUUUGAGCUAAUACUAAAUAAAUAUAUGUUGUAACAUUAAAAAAUUUCAAAGAUGCCAUAUUUUGAAUAUUUCAUUUCAGUUCUUAACAUAACAUGAACAAAUCAAAUAAUUUUUCAUAACCAGUACCUUGUUAGUAUAUGCCCCCCUAAUUCAAUACUAAUAAUUCAACCAACAAAUAAAUUUCGGGUAAAAUCAACACAAACUUUCGUUGGAAAAAAUGGUUGAUUAUCUAGGGAACCACUGAAGUGUGACUGGAGCAGACACCCCCCUUUUAAGCCAGUCAAAGGACUCCUCUUACUUGAUCCACCACAAUGUUAAUAAAUGCGGCUUCCUUAAAGUGAUUAAUACAAAAUGGUACUGGAUUUUUUUUCUGUGCAUAUGGAAAUAUGUCUGGGCUUAGUUUUGAUGCACUAGGAACAGUAACUUACAUUCAUUAUAAAUAAUUAGUUUCAUUACAAUGUAUUUUAAUAGUUCAAGACAAAAAGUCUUUCAAAUUCAUAUUUGAUAUGUUGCAUUGUUCUCAUAGAUAUCAUAGAGAGUUUCACCAUAUUUUGCUGUCAUGAUUGUGAAAAAGAAUUCCAUCCAUUUUUAAACUAAGUAGUUUUAGUCGAUGAUAAUGUAAUUUUCAACUGUCAAACAGGUUGUGAUUGUAAUUGUGAUACUUUCUUUCUAUAAGGAAAAUGAAAACCUGUCACUAAACAAUUCUUAGAUCUUAUGCAAGAUAUAUUUGAUGUAUUAAAACGAAGGAAUUGAUGAACCUACUUAAAUAUAUAAUUUACUGGAUAAAGCUAUUUCUCUGUAUUCCAGUAGUUGUAAACAUUUAUUGGCUUUAUAGUAAACAUGUUUUUUUUUUAAUCACUUAUAUAUAGUAGUCAGGCAAUGAAGACAAAAGCUUAUAGAAAUACUCAAAUAUCCUAAUGCUGAGAAAUAAUUCUUGAUCUUGUUUUGAUGGAACUUUGACACUACGUUUCAUGACAUUUAAAUAAAUUUAUAUAGGAAUAUGAUAUGCAGUGCAGUGUUCUCCCCAGAAAAUUCAUAUAGCAUCCUGUUUAUCAAGGAAAUUUGAAAUACCAUCUUGUUUUUAAAAAUUAUAGCAUCACAUCAAUAACACAAUCUAUAAUAAUAUCAAUUCUGAUAGCAUCACAUUCAGAAAUACAGCAUCACAUAACCAUGAUGCUAAAAGGCCCUCUAGGGAGAAGAACACUGCAGUGCAAUACAUAUAGUUUACUUUUAUUUCUGUCUAAAUCAAUAAAUUCCUAUGUACUAUGGUUGUGUAAAGCAAACAUCAAUCAAUCAAUUAAUCCGUCUAGAUAGUCCUUCAACUGCCAAACAAAUAUAGUCUUAAAAUACUUGAAUAUGCAUUUAUGCAGAUUAUGUAUAGCAUUUUCACUCUCACAAUUUAAAAUUUCAAUAUUUUGUUGAAAUUUGGAAGUUGCCCGAAAUUAGCAAUAUUUCUCAGUUGUAACUUAUAAGAAGCAUCAUGUAAUUAUUUGUAGAUUACAAAUAAGCUGUGUCAGAUACAAAAUCAACCUUAUGCAAGUGAACAUGUACAUGUACGUAUAAACCUUUGAUUCGGUUUAGAAACAUUCAACAUGUUCAAAUACGAAAUAAAAGAUGAAUUUUGGUCUGUCUUAGAGUUUUAAUAACAACUCAAUCUUCAAACGGACUUUUGAAAGAGAUUUCAUUUCAAGCCGAAAUAUAUUGAUAUUCACUUACAUAAGCUCGAUUUCUAUCCGACAGACCCCAAAUAUUAAGGUAAUGGUAAUACAUCCAUGUCUAUGGACUACAGGAUCAUGUGACACCCUGCAGCAUGUUAUAAAACAUCUCAUUUAAUCAUGAUUGUACUCAAGUUUUAUUUCAUGUAUGUUUGAACACUUUAUCAUGUGUAAAUAAAUGUUAGCAAUUCAUGUGUAUCACAAUGUGAAACGAGCUAUUAAUGGUAUCUUAAAUAAAAAAAAAUGAGGAU